UGGCGGACGGGUGAGUAAUGUCUGGGAAACUGCCUGAUGGAGGGGGGUAACUACUGGAAACGGUAGCUAAUACCGCAUAACGUCGCAAGACCAAAGAGGGGGACCUUAGGGCCUCUUGCCAUCGGAUGUGCCCAGAUGGGAUUAGCUAGUAGGUGGGGUAACGGCUCACCUAGGCGACGAUCCCUAGCUGGUCUGAGAGGAUGACCAGCCACACUGGAACUAAGACACGGUCCAG
This 235-nucleotide ribosomal RNA is filed under the name uncultured bacterium. RNAcentral's name for it is "partial 16S ribosomal RNA". It matches the Rfam family "Bacterial small subunit ribosomal RNA", at positions 96 to 334 of the family's 1533-position model. The record is from RNAcentral.